This 425-nucleotide ribosomal RNA is filed under the name uncultured bacterium. RNAcentral describes it as "bacterial SSU rRNA". It matches the Rfam family "Bacterial small subunit ribosomal RNA", at positions 356 to 773 of the family's 1533-position model. The record is from RNAcentral.
GGGGAAUUUUGGACAAUGGGGGCAACCCUGAUCCAGCCAUGCCGCGUGAGUGAAGAAGGCCUUCGGGUUGUAAAGCUCUUUCAGCCGGGAAGAAAACGCAUGGGUUAAUACCCUGUGUGGAUGACGGUACCGGAAUAAGAAGCACCGGCUAACUACGUGCCAGCAGCCGCGGUAAUACGUAGGGUGCGAGCGUUAAUCGGAAUUACUGGGCGUAAAGCGUGCGCAGGCGGUUUGUUAAGAUAGGCGUGAAAUCCCCGGGCUCAACCUGGGAACUGCGUUUAUGACUGGCAGGCUAGAGUAUGGCAGAGGGGGGUGGAAUUCCACGUGUAGCAGUGAAAUGCGUAGAGAUGUGGAGGAACACCGAUGGCGAAGGCAGCCCCCUGGGCCAAUACUGACGCUCAUGCACGAAAGCGUGGGUAGCAAAC